RNAcentral lists this ribosomal RNA (510 nucleotides) under uncultured bacterium. Its description in RNAcentral is "partial 16S ribosomal RNA". It matches the Rfam family "Bacterial small subunit ribosomal RNA", at positions 28 to 507 of the family's 1533-position model. The record is from RNAcentral.
GACGAACGCUGGCGGCGUGCUUAACACAUGCAAGUCGAACGAAGAGCGAUGGAAGCUUGCUUCUAUCAAUCUUAGCGGCGAACGGGUGAGUAACGCGUAAUCAACCUGCCCUUCAGAGGGGGACAACAGUUGGAAACGACUGCUAAUACCGCAUACGAUCUAAUCUCAGCAUCGAGGAUAGAUGAAAGGUGGCCUCUACAUGUAAGCUAUCACUGAAGGAGGGGAUUGCGUCUGAUUAGCUAGUUGGAGGGGUAACGGCCCACCAAGGCGAUGAUCAGUAGCCGGUCUGAGAGGAUGAACGGCCACAUUGGGACUGAGACACGGCCCAGACUCCUACGGGAGGCAGCAGUGGGGAAUCUUCCGCAAUGGACGAAAGUCUGACGGAGCAACGCCGCGUGAGCGAUGACGGCCUUCGGGUUGUAAAGCUCUGUUAAUCGGGACGAAAGGCCUUCUUGCGAAUAGUGAGAAGGAUUGACGGUACCGGAAUAGAAAGCCACGGCUAACUACGUG